This is a non-coding RNA of Oryctolagus cuniculus (rabbit), 7048 nucleotides long. NCBI's taxonomy places the organism in Eukaryota, Metazoa, Chordata, Mammalia, Lagomorpha, Leporidae. The record is from RefSeq and is a predicted model, not a curated record.
UGUGUGUGUGUGUGUGUGGUGGGGGUCAUGCUGUCCACCUCCUGUGCCCGUUCAGGGGCUGGGGGGUGUCCUCCCUGCAGCUCAGGCAGGAGAGUCGCCGGCUGUGUGUGUGUUUUCACUCUUCUGCCUAGAGCAUGUGCCUCAUGCAUCGCCUUGUGCCCUCACUAGCCCUGCGCUGAGUUGACAAGGACCUGGGGUUAGCCUGGACCAGGGACAGGGAAAUCUUGGCUAAGAAGUCUUAGAUGGUUGUCUACACUGGGUGCUUUGGGCUUGGGCUCAUUUCUGAUGCUCAUUCAAGGCAGCAGACUUCUGUGGGAGAUCUGCUUGCUGUGUUGUUUGUUCGCAAAGUUCGGUGCUUCGUGCCAAGUGGUGUGGUGGCGCUGGUGAGAUGUGAGCCCUUGCUUCGGAGAGCUUACGGCCUAGUGAAGGAGACAGAGUUAUGUGGGGAAACUACAGAGCAAAAGGUCCUGACUGUAACUGAGCAGAAAUCCAGUCCGCACCAUCCAUGGGUGCACGGUGGGUGGGGCAAGUGUAGGGGACAAGCACGUUUGAACACGAAGCUGUGAGCUGUGCAGUCGGUGCUAUUGCAAGGGCGUAAACAUAACGUUACUCCACCAGAGGGAAGGCCGUGGAGAGUAAGAUGGGAGACCGCAUUUCAGGUGUGCUUUUAGGGGAAUUUGAGGCUUAGAGAAUGAAACAGUGGGAAAAGACAUGGAGGACAGGGAGCCGGCACUGUGCUGAAGCGGGUAAAGCCACCACCUGCCGUGCAUCCCAUAUGCACGCCGGUUCGAGUCCCAGCUGCUCCACUUCCGAUCCAGCUCUCUGCUAUGGCCUGGGAAAGCAGUGGAGGAUGGCCCAAGUCCUUGGGCCCCUGCACCUGCGUGGGAGAACCCGAAGAAGCCCCUGGCUCCUGGCUUCAGAUUGGCGCAGCUCUGAACCAGCGGAUGGAAGACUUCUCUCUCUCUUUCUCUGCCUCUGCCUCUCUGUAACUGUCUUCCAAAUAAAUAAGUAAAUCUUUAAAAAGGGGGGGGGGCUGGGAGGGGAAGAUGGGUGGGGAAGGGGGUGCUAGUGGGAUGUUCCAGAGGGGUUGUCAGUGUGGGACUCAGGAGAGACCUCAGGCUCCACGUGGAAGUCUGAUAGCGUCUGCGUGACGGAGCGUAUCAGAGCUGUGUGUGGCGAGGGUCACUGUGGGGACGGGUGGGACAAGGAGAGAAGGCUGCUGCAGGUCAUUGUGGGCAGAGGCAGAGCGAGACAGAGCAGCAGCAGGAAGAGGUCCCAGGAGGUGGCAGCGGCCGGGUCGCCAUGGAGAGGCGGAUCAAGGAGGCGGUGAGCAGCGGCGCUGUCCGAUGCUGCGGAGGCCACCUGGGAGAAGGCCAAGCUGAGAAGUCAGAGAAGGAUCAGGAGCAGUUGUGGAGCGCGGCAUUGGAGAGGAAGAAUCAGAGCGGGCUUAGCAUGAAGCUGUUACGUCUCCUAACUGUGGCAUGUCCUGUCGGCCACUGUCACUGGGGAGGUAGCGGAAUCGGGAUGAAGCAGACAUCCCACGGGCCUGGCGUGGGGGUCGCCCAGGCCGUGAGAAGCACCUGCUCGCCAGCAGCCAGGAGACGAACUUCCUACUCGAGCGGGGAACUGCAGUGUGACCCAGAGCACAUCCAUUCCCCGUAGGGCUCUCUUCCAUCGGUGUGGCCAGAUUCGAGUGGCUGACCCCAUGUCACUGCCCUGAACAACUUCCAGAAUCUUCCCUGAGAGGUACUGAGGAGAGCCCAUCCGUUUCCUGGCUGAUGCUUCUGUGUGUCUGUGGUGAUUGGAUGACUGCUAACGUUGACCUUAAGAUACGUCAGGCUCAGUCUAGACCACUGAACUGCCAGAGAAACUGGAAGAAACAACUUCGUUCAUUUUUAUUUCUUCAUUUGAGAGACAGAGAUCCAGUCUGCUGGCUUGCUCCCCAAAUGCCCGCAGUGCCUAGGGCUGGGCUGAAGCCAAAACCAGGAACUCAAACCAGGUCUCCCAUGUGGGUGGCAGGAACCCAGUGACUUACGCCAUGACCGCAGCCUCCCAGGGUCUGCGUUAGCAGGAAGCUGGAGUCAGGAGCCUGAGCCAGGAAUGGAACUCAGACAUUCAGGGUGGGACCCUGAUCUCUGCUGCUGGGCCCAGUGCCCACCCCAACAACUUCCGUAAGAGCCCCCGGAAAAAGCAGCUCUGCUCCUUCCCACCUCAACCAGCGUCCCUUCGUCCGUUGCUUUCUUCCCUUGCCAGUCCUCUUGGUGCCUGCCUGGACUUGGCAUUGGGCCUGCUGAGAUCUGGUCCAGAGCCGGCUGAGUGCCGAGACUUGGCCUUCCUAAGCCUUGGAGCUCCUUCCAGCCUGCCCCCCACCCCCACUGGGGUUCCGCCACCUCCCUGGCAAGUCUGCUCCCAUGGCCGCUCAUGUCAUCUGCCCAGGUCCUAGCAGCUGCUUGUUUUGAACUUUUUUUUUCUUUUGUAAGGAUUUAUUUAUUUGACAGAGUGACAGAAAAAGGAGAGAGAACCUCCAUGUAUGGGUUCACUCCCCAAUGCCCACAGAAGCCUGACUAGUCCCAGCUUAAGCCAGGAGCUCCAUCCAGGUCUCCCACUGAGUGGCAGGGCCCUAAGCACUUGGGCCAUCAGCUGCAUCGUAGGCCCGUUAGCAGGAAGCUGGAUCAGAAGUGCAGAGUAACCAUGGUCAGGAUGACCCACCUCCAACAUGGAUGUGGCUGUCCCAAGCAGGGCCUUAGCCCGCUGCAGCACAGUGCCAGCCCCUCAUGUUGAAUUUUCCCUCCGGUCCUUCUCUGGGCCAUCCUUAUACCACCGUUGUGAGGAAGCUGAGCUUCAGGUACAUUUCAUAAGCCAGCUAGUUAGUGGCAGAGCUGAAAUUUGAACCUGGGGCUGUCUGAAUCUAACAUCCCUUCUAUACUUGGAGUGACUUUGCUGGCAGCCCCUCCCCCCACCCAGACAUGUGUGAUCUGGAAUAGCAGCACAGAUAAGGGCUGGUCCUCCUGGGGUUCGCAUGUCCCUCGGGCUGCCUGAGCAGCUGUGCCACUGUGGGCAGUGAUGUGGGUAGUUAGUAAGGCCUGCCUUCUGGGCCGUUGUGACAAGCUCAAACUGAUGCACGAAGAACAUGUGAUGGUGCCUGGCGCACGCGCAUUGGGUGCUCCGUAAUAGACCGAUCGUCGGGACUGCCCCUCUGUCCCGGGGUGGGCUCUGCUAUCAGCUCCUGCGCUUCGACUUCCCAGCUGCAGACUCGCCAAGCUUGCUGCCGUGGAGCUGCAGCGGCUCGGGUCAGAGCUCUGUUCCCUGUGAGCCCUGCUCCCGGCCCCGUGGGCGAGAGCCACGUGUGUUGCAGUAGUGGUUCUGAGUCCCAGCACAGCGCCGUGAGUGCAGCAGGCAGGUAGCGUGUUGGAAGGAUGCUGGGAGCAGUCCAGGCAGUGCUGCUGUGACGUGAGAUAGCACACACGCACACAUGAGACGUGACACGGCAGAGGUCCAGGUGGACUGGGGCUCCUUACCGCACCAGGCAUGACGGGGGAGGGGAGAUCCUCAGAACUGAUUUUGUGCCUGGAAUAUAUGAGCAGAGGGGACUUCUGCCAGAGAUUUGGGCCGUCCUCACUGAGUCAGCAGGCACCAAGGACUUGGAUUUGGAUAACUGACCUCAUGCUGAUGCACUGUGUCCACUCCGACAUUAAUGGCAAAUGUGCGGGUAGGAUGGGGUCUAGUGGCUGCCCUGAGAGCCUGGGGUGCCCGGGGACUGCCACAAACGUGGGGAUCCUCACUGGGUGUGGAUGGGAUGACCUCGCAUGGGUUAUUGCCAUCUAAGUUCAUGCCACGGAUAUUUGGGGGGUGGCUGACUAGGCAUUGCUGCGUCGUUUGCUACAUUGUCAUUUUCACUUUCCAAGUUCUCUCUCCCUAAGUCAUCAACUAUUGCCUGUGAGGCAGAGGCCUGGAAUGACAGUCUCUUAUCACUCACAGAUUCAUUAUGUUUGGUAAUCUGUGUGGGUUUCCAAGAGGGGGGUAUCUUUCCCAUGUUUGAGCCGCUUUCUAGCCAAAGGAAAGACAGCCACAGCACUGCUGCUGUAACAAAACAAAUUCCUAGCACCUCAGUGGCUGAUGGCAUUCUGCAAGGGGUUCCCUACGUUAGAUGAACAUACAGUGGUCUAUCAGUUCGUACGUAUGUCCUGUGCUUAGUGGGGGACUUCCAUGAUUCGUUAGGUCAAGGCAGUAUGCCCACACGGUGUCUCCGGAGCGUCACCUCUCUCGAGUAAGGGAAGAUGACUUGGUUCUGAAUUCUGGGAUGAUGAGUCCCUUAUGUGAAUUCGCUGGGCGAACCAAAAAGGAGGAGCCAAGAAGUGGCGUUACAAUUCUGGAUGGUGUGUGCCUAACCUGGGGUCACUUUGACCAAGGACAAGGAAAGGGGCGUAGGAGGGGUUCUGUGUUCACCCUCACAGAACCAAACAGCACACAAAACACCUAGUGGCCUACUUGCCGAAAUCAAGGGGAGACCUCACCAAGUCUGACAUGCUGUCUCUCAGUCACGUUGGUGCCAGAUAUUGCUGUGGAUUCGUUCUGAGAGGAGAAGUGUGGUGGGGGCAAGAGGUGUGGAGUCACCACACAGACCCCGGGAGUCAGGUGAAAGCGGGCCAGAGGCAAGCAGCCUGCAGACUCAUUUAUUUCAGUUAGUACAGCAGCUUAUAUAGCCAAGGCAGCCAAUCUGGUCAAGGGGCUGUUUAUACCCUAACCAAUCACAGCCUGUUGCUAGGCAGUUUCUGAAGCCAUCCAAUCACAGCCUGUUGCCAGGCAGGCUCUGUGGCCAGGGGCUUUCCAAAGCCAUUCCUGAGUAACUGAUGCUCGCUUGCCAGCGGCCAUUUUGGCAUGGCCUUCUCAUUCCACCACACAUGUGCUUGGUCUCUGUCCCCUUGAGGGAAACCCAGGUUGAGUUCCUAGCUCUUCACUUUUGCCUGGCCCAGCUGUUGCUGUAGGCAUUUAGGAAGUGAAUCAACAGAUCAAAGUUCUGUCUGUAUGUCUCUCUCUCUCUCUCUCUCUCUCUCUCUCUCUUUCUUUCCCUCUCUCUGUCUCUCUGCCUUUCAAAUAAGUAAGUAAAAACAAGAACUUUUUUUAGAAUAAACUUAGGAAACACUGGCACAGCGGUUUGGUGCAGUAAAAAAGUUGUGCCUUGGAACCCCCACAUUCCAGAUUGGAGUGCCUGGGUGCCAGUCCUGGCUCUGCUUCCGGCUCCAGCUUCCUGCCAGUGUGCACCCUGGGAGGCGGCCGUGAUGGCUGCAGUACUUGCAUCCCAGCCACCCAUGCGGGAGACCCAGACAGAAUUCCACACUGACUCCAGGCUGUGACCUGGCCUCCUUGGGCUGUUGCAGGCUUUUGGGGAGUGAAACUGGAUAGAAAAAUCUCUCUGUCUCUGACUCUCUGCCUCUCUGCUUUUCAAGUAAAAUGAAAAUAAAUAAUAUUUUAAAAAUAGAAAACAUUAAAAUUAGUACUAACUUACUGCUGAUAUGAUAUUAGUCUUUAUACUAAUGCAGAUUUACUGUGAAAGUGUUUUAAAAAAGCAAAGAUACAGGCCAGCGCCGUGGUUCACUUGGUUAAUCCUCUGCCUGAGGCGCCGGCAUCCCAUAUGGGCGCCAGGUUCUAGUCCCGGUUGCUUCUCUUCCAGUCUAGCUCUCUGCUGUGGCCUGAGAAAGCAGCAGAGGAUGGCCCAAGUGCUUGGGCCCUGCACCCGCAUGGGAGACCAGGAAGAAGCACCUGGCUCCUGGCUUCAGAUCGGCACAGUGCCAACUGUAGCGGUCAUUUGGGAAUAAACCAACAGAAGGAAGAGCUUUCUCUCUUUCUCUCUCAUUCUCUAUAAAUCUACCUGUCAAAUAAAUUUAAAAAAAAAAAGAUACAAACAGGAAAUAAUAGCAGAUAGUGCAAUUAACUGAAUAUUUUGAAUAUUCAAAAUGUGGGGUAGGACCAGCACUGUGGCAUAGCAGGUAAAGCUGCCAUCUGCAGUGCCGGUAUCCCAUGUUGGCACUGGUUUGAGUCCUGGCUGUUCCACUUCGUGUCCAGUUCCCUGCUAUUGUGCCUGGGAAAGCAGUAGAAGAUGGCCCAAGUCCUUGAACCCCUGCACCUGCAUGGAAGACAUAGAGGAAGCUCCUGGCUUCUGGCUUCAGAUCAACCCAGCUCCAGCCGUUGUGGUCAUUUAGGGAGUGAACCAGUGGAUGGAAGACCUCACAUUCUCCCUCUGUAACUCUGUCAAAUAAAUAAAUAAAUAAAUCCUUUUCUUUUUUUUUUUUUUUUUUUUUUUUUAGAUUUUAUUAUUUGAAAGUCAGAGUUACACAGAGAGAGGAGAGGCAGAGGGAGAGAGAAAGAGAGGUCUUCCACCCAAUGGCUCACUCCCCAGUUGGCUGCAAUGGCCAGAGCUGUGCUGAUCCAAAGCCAGGAGCCAGGAAUCUCCUCUGUGUCUCCCAUGCAGGAUGGGCCAUCUUCAACUGUUUUCCCAGGCCAUAGCAGAGAGCUGGAUAGGAAGUGGAGCAGCCGAGACUUGAACUGGUGCCCAUAUGGGAUGCUGGCACUGCAGGCCAGGGUGUUAGCCCGCUGUGCCACAGCGCUGGCCCCAUAACUAAAUCUUUUUUUUUUUUUAAUGUGGGAUAAUGCAAAAAGAAGUGUGCAAAUUUGAAUGAGUUCAGUAGAAAACCUGAAUUAAAAGCAAAUACAUCGAAGGAAAUAAAGUAGAAUUCAGUGAACUCUAAAGUGUUUAUGUAUGUGAAAGGCAGAGUGUCAGAGGGAGAGGGAGGGACAGAAAGAGAUCUCCAACAUGGGAAGCAGGCCACACAGCAGACUCAGAAUCUUUCCUUAGGGCAGAGUUGGUCUUGUGUAUAUAAAGUUAAUUAAAAAUGAAUCUUAAUGAAGAAUGGGAUGGGAGUAGGGGUGGGAUGGCGGGUAUGGGAGGAAGAACUGUUAUAGUCCUAAAGCUGUACCUAUGAAAUUUAUGUUUAUUAAAUAAAAGCUUUCUAAAAAUAUAUAUAAUUUUCAAAAAGACAAAAAAAAAAGA